RNAcentral lists this ribosomal RNA (256 nucleotides) under uncultured archaeon. Its description in RNAcentral is "partial 16S ribosomal RNA". It matches the Rfam family "Bacterial small subunit ribosomal RNA", at positions 521 to 776 of the family's 1533-position model. The record is from RNAcentral.
UAAUACGGAGGGUGCAAGCGUUAUCCGGAUUUAUUGGGUUUAAAGGGUCCGUAGGCGGACUUAUAAGUCAGUGGUGAAAUCCUGUCGCUUAACGAUAGAACUGCCAUUGAUACUGUAAGUCUUGAGUAUAUUUGAGGUAGCUGGAAUAAGUAGUGUAGCGGUGAAAUGCAUAGAUAUUACUUAGAACACCAAUUGCGAAGGCAGGUUACCAAGAUAUAACUGACGCUGAGGGACGAAAGCGUGGGUAGCGAACAGG